UGGGGAAUUUUGGACAAUGGGCGCAAGCCUGAUCCAGCAAUGCCGCGUGCAGGAUGAAGGCCUUCGGGUUGUAAACUGCUUUUGUACGGAGCGAAAAGGUCUGCCCUAAUACGGUGGGCUCAUGACGGUACCGUAAGAAUAAGCACCGGCUAACUACGUGCCAGCAGCCGCGGUAAUACGUAGGGUGCGAGCGUUAAUCGGAAUUACUGGGCGUAAAGCGUGCGCAGGCGGUUAUAUAAGACAGGUGUGAAAUCCCCGGGCUCAACCUGGGACCUGCAUUUGUGACUGUAUAGCUAGAGUACGGUAGAGGGGGAUGGAAUUCCGCGUGUAGCAGUGAAAUGCGUAGAUAUGCGGAGGAACACCGAUGGCGAAGGCAAUCCCCUGGACCUGUACUGACGCUCAUGCACGAAAGUGUGGGGAGCAAACA
This 427-nucleotide ribosomal RNA is filed under the name uncultured bacterium. RNAcentral describes it as "bacterial SSU rRNA". It matches the Rfam family "Bacterial small subunit ribosomal RNA", at positions 355 to 774 of the family's 1533-position model. The record is from RNAcentral.